GAACCUCUUAAAAGGAGGUUUUUAGUGGCGAACGGGUGAGUAACACGUAAGUAACCUGCCUUUAAGACGAGGAUAACAACCGGAAGGUUACUAAGACUGGAUAGGAAACAAAAAGGCAUCUUUUUGUUUUUAAAAGACCUUCUUACGAAGGUAUGCUUAAAGAGGGGCUUGCGCCACAUUAGUUAGUUGGUAGAGUAAAAGCCUACCAAGACGAUGAUGUGUAGCUGGACUGAGAGGUUGAACAGCCACAUUGGGACUGAGACACGGCCCAAACUCCUACGGGAGGCAGCAGUAGGGAAUUUUCGGCAAUGGAGGAAACUCUGACCGAGCAACGCCGCGUGAACGAUGAAGUAUUUCGGUAUGUAAAGUUCUUUUAUUGAAGAAGAAAAAGUAGUGGAAAAACUAUAUUGACGUUAUUCAAUGAAUAAGCCCCGGCUAACUAUGUGCCAGCAGCCGCGGUAAGACAUAGGGGGCGAGCGUUAUCCGGAAUUAUUGGGCGUAAAGGGUGCGUAGGCUGUUAGAUAAGUCUAUAAUUUAAUUUCAGUGCUUAACGCUGUCUUGUUAUAGAAACUGUCUUGACUAGAGUGAGAUAGAGGCAAGCGGAAUUCCAUGUGUAGCGGUAAAAUGUGUAAAUAUAUGGAGGAACACCAGAAGCGUAGGCGGCUUGCUGGGUCUUUACUGACGCUGAGGCACGAAAGCGUGGGUAGCAAACAGGAUUAGAUACCCUGGUAGUCCACGCCGUAAACGAUGAGUACUAAGUGUCGGGGUAAAACUCGGUACUGAAGUUAACACAUUAAGUACUCCGCCUGAGUAGUACGUACGCAAGUAUGAAACUUAAAGGAAUUGACGGGACUCCGCACAAGCGGUGGAUCAUGUUGUUUAAUUCGAAGAUACACGAAAAAUCUUACCAGGUCUUGACAUACUCUGCAAAGCUAUAGAAAUAUAGUGGAGGUUAUCAGGGAUACAGGUGGUGCAUGGUUGUCGUCAGUUCGUGUCGUGAGAUGUUAGGUUAAGUCCUAAAACGAACGCAACCCUUGUCGUUAAUUGCCAGCACAUAAUGGUGGGGACUUUAACGAGACUGCCAAUUAAACAUUGGAGGAAGGUGAGGAUUACGUCAAAUCAUCAUGCCCCUUAUGAUCUGGGCUACAAACGUGAUACAAUGGCUGUGACAAAGAGUAGCUGAAACGCGAGUUUUUAGCCAAUCUCAAAAAAGCAGUCUCAGUUCGGAUUGAAGUCUGUAACUCGACUUCAUGAAGUUGGAAUCGCUAGUAAUCGCGAAUCAGCAUGUCGCGGUGAAUACGUUCUCGGGGUUUGUACACACCGCCCGUCAAACCACGAAAGUUAGCAAUGCCCGAAAGCAGUAGCUUAACUUCGCAAGAAGAGGGAA
Molecule: ribosomal RNA, 1387 nt
Filed under: Brinjal little leaf phytoplasma
Lineage: Bacteria; Bacillati; Mycoplasmatota; Mollicutes; Acholeplasmatales; Acholeplasmataceae
Description: bacterial SSU rRNA
Rfam family: Bacterial small subunit ribosomal RNA
Source: RNAcentral